GAAUGAAUAAGCCAGUUAUAAAAGGACAGAUUCUGUAGGAUUCUACUUAUGUGAAAUAUCUAGAGUCAAAAUCAUGGACACAAAAAGUAGAAUGGUGGUUCCCUGGUGCUGGCAGGAAGGGGAAAUAAGGAAUUGUUUAAUGGGUACAGAGUUUCGGUAUUGCAAGAUGAAAAGUUCCAGAGAUCUGUUAUACAAUAAUGUGAAUAUAGUAAACAUUACUUAGUUCUACACUU
Long non-coding RNA from Sapajus apella (tufted capuchin), 233 nucleotides. RefSeq lists it as uncharacterized. NCBI's taxonomy places the organism in Eukaryota, Metazoa, Chordata, Mammalia, Primates, Cebidae. The transcript is spliced from 2 exons. The record is from RefSeq and is a predicted model, not a curated record.